CGCCGCGGUAGAGGAGCGUUCUGUACUGGCUGAAGCCAUACCGUAAGGAGUGGUGGACGGUACAGAAGUGAGAAUGUUGGCAUAAGUAGCGAGAUGCGGGUGAGAAUCCCGCAGGUCGAAAAUCUAAGGUUUCCUGAGGAAGGUUCGUCCGCUCAGGGUUAGUCGGGUCCUAAGCCCAGGCCGAGAGGCGUAGGUGAUGGACAAUCGGUUGAUAUUCCGAUACCACUACGAAGCGUUUGACCGAAGGGGUGACGCAGGAGGAUAAGAUGUGCGUACGAUUGGAUUGUACGUCUAAGCAUCAAGGAAGGACAGGGAGGCAAAUCCCCCGGUCCGUUAAUUCUGAGGUGUGAUGGGGAGGAGCCUACGGGCUUCGAGUAUCUGAUUUCACGCUGCCAAGAAAAGCCUCUAGGGAGCUCGCGUAGUGCCCGUACCGCAAACCGACACAGGUAGAUGAGGAGAGAAUCCUAAGACCAUCGGAAGAAUUGUUGUUAAGGAACUCGGCAAAUUAACCCCGUAACUUCGGGAGAAGGGGUGCCCGGCGCAAGCCGGGCCGCAGUGAAAUGGCCCAAGCAACUGUUUAGCAAAAACACAGGUCUCUGCUAAAGCGAAAGCUGAUGUAUAGGGGCUGACGCCUGCCCGGUGCUGGAAGGUUAAGGGGAUCACUUAGCGCAAGCGAAGGUGUGAACUUAAGCCCCAGUAAACGGCGGCCGUAACUAUAACGGUCCUAAGGUAGCGAAAUUCCUUGUCAGGUAAGUUCUGACCCGCACGAAUGGCGUAAUGACUUGGGCACUGUCUCAACAACAAAUCCGGCGAAAUUGUAGUGCAAGUGAAGAUGCUUGCUACCCGCGAUUGGACGGAAAGACCCCGUAGAGCUUUACUGUAGCUUAGCAUUGAGUUUCGAUAUUGUCUGUACAGGAUAGGUGGGAGACUGGGAAAGCGGAUCGUCAGGUCUGCUGGAGUCACCCUUGGGAUACCACCCUGGCAGUAUUGAGAUUCUAACCGGCGGCCCUGAUCGGGUCACGGGACAUUGUUAGGUGGGCAGUUUGACUGGGGCGGUCGCCUCCUAAAAAGUAACGGAGGCGCCCAAAGGUUCCCUCAGAACGGUCGGAAAUCGUUCGUAGAGUGCAAAGGCAGAAGGGAGCCUGACUGCGACACAUACAGGUGGAGCAGGGACGAAAGUCGGGCUUAGUGAUCCGGUGGUACCUCGUGGGAGGGCCAUCGCUCAACGGAUAAAAGCUACCUCGGGGAUAACAGGCUUAUCUCCCCCAAGAGUCCACAUCGACGGGGAGGUUUGGCACCUCGAUGUCGGCUCGUCGCAUCCUGGGGCUGAAGUAGGUCCCAAGGGUUGGGCUGUUCGCCCAUUAAAGCGGCACGCGAGCUGGGUUCAGAACGUCGUGAGACAGUUCGGUCCCUAUCCGUCGCGGGCGUAGGAAAUUUGAAGGGAGCUGUCCUUAGUACGAGAGGACCGGGAUGGACCAACCUCUGGUGUACCAGUUGUUCUGCCAAGAGCAUGGCUGGGUAGCUAAGUUGGGACGGGAUAAACGCUGAAAGCAUCUAAGCGUGAAGCCCACCCUAAGAUAAGAUUUCCCAUGGCGCAGGCCAGUAAGAUCCCUUGAAGAACACAAGGUAGAUAGGUGAGAGGUGUACGUGCAGCAAUGCAUUCAGCUUACUCAUACUAAUCGAUCGAGGGCUUAAUCAA
Molecule: ribosomal RNA, 1699 nt
Filed under: Proteiniclasticum sediminis
Lineage: Bacteria; Bacillati; Bacillota; Clostridia; Eubacteriales; Clostridiaceae
Description: Bacterial large subunit ribosomal RNA
Rfam family: Bacterial large subunit ribosomal RNA
Source: Rfam by way of RNAcentral